This 530-nucleotide ribosomal RNA is filed under the name Chionaspis sonorae. Its description in RNAcentral is "eukaryotic LSU rRNA". The record is from RNAcentral. Lineage: Eukaryota; Metazoa; Arthropoda; Insecta; Hemiptera; Diaspididae.
AUCUGGGCGGCGGAAUUCAAGACGGCUGGCGGGUCUCGCGCUCGUUCGGCCGUUUGAUAUUUCCGUCGCCGUGUCAGACGUCGCGACCUGUUUGUCGUCGGUCCUUGCUCGGAGGAAUUGCGAUCGAGUUCGUUGCGGGUGCGUUUCGGCGUGCUUCGCGGCGAAGACGCGACUCUCUGGCCGACGACGGACAGUAAGCAACGGUGUCUGGCGCCGUGUCUCGCACUCGGCGUCGGUGCCGGUCAGCGACGAUUUCUUCGGGCCUCUUUCCGACCCGUCUUGAAACACGGACCAAGGAGUCUAACAUGCGCGCGAGUCGCGGGGUUUCGAGCGUACCACGGUGCGCUCGUCACUUCCGAAACCCGUACGUUGAAGGCGUAAUGAAAGUGAAUAGGGAAGAUGGCGUUCCGAGACCACGUACCGUGAUCGAGUAUCGCGGCCGGACGUCCGCACUCCCGGGGCGUCUCAAUGGUUCGCCACGGAUGCGGACGAUCGUCUUUCGGGGCGGUCGUCGGUCUGUGGCGGUCCGA